RNAcentral lists this ribosomal RNA (278 nucleotides) under uncultured bacterium. Its description in RNAcentral is "partial 16S ribosomal RNA". It matches the Rfam family "Bacterial small subunit ribosomal RNA", at positions 32 to 278 of the family's 1533-position model. The record is from RNAcentral.
GACGAAACGCUGGCGGCGUGCCUAAUACAUGCAAGUCGAACGCUUCUUUUUUCCAUCGGAGCUUGCUCCACCGGAAAAAGAGGAGUGGCGAACGGGUGAGUAACACGUGGGUAACCUGCCCAUCAGAAGGGGAUAACACUUGGAAACAGGUGCUAAUACCAUAUAACAAUCGAAACCGCAUGGUUUUGAUUUGAAAGGCGCUUUCGGGUGUCGCUGAUGGAUGGACCCGCGGUGCAUUAGCUAGUUGGUGAGGUAAACGGCCUCAACCGAAGGCGACG